AUUAUUGAGGAGUCAGAUGCUGGAAAUGAAUUGGGUUGCUUAAUCCAGCCAGCAGAAUCUAGUUUGAAGUUGGAUGAUAAACAAGAUGAUGUUAAAAACUCUAUCUCAGCAACACCAGCGGUUGAGUCAGUUGAGCUUAGUGGUUCGUUUUCUAGGUGCGAGAGAACAAAGAUAGAAGCUAUUCAUAGUGUAUGUGCUCCAGAAAGGCAGGAGGUGGGACCUAUUGCUGAUGGAUGUUCUGGUGUUAAUACUGAGGAAAAGUUACAGACUGAAGUAAAAAGCAUUGAUGAAAAUUUAGGGGAAGUUAGGACAGCACAAAGUGAAUCUCUACCCGAUAAUUAUAAUAGGCAACCAUCCAUUCCUGUAACUGAAAGUGCAAUUAAAGAGUGCGUUACAGAUUCUCUUACUGCGAGUAUUGAGAUUUUGGCUAGUCAGCAUAAUCCAACCAACUGUCAUAGUGGGAAUACAAGUGGUCUACCAAGUGAACAUCACAAACAAGUAGAGAAACAAAUAUCUGUUAGCAAAGAGUCGAGUUUGGGUGAUGGAAAGACGCAUGGAUGUGCUGUUGAUAGUGAAACUUGUACCUCUAAUGCCAGUCCUCCCUCUCUUGCUGCUUCAGAGCUGGAAGUAGGCAAAGAUCUUUCAACCGAAACCAGAAUGAUUACAUCAGAGGAACCUUGUGUGCAGAGGAACAAAUGCAGUCUUACUAUUGAGGGAUGCAACAAAGAUACUUCCUCGGUUGAACAUGCUGAAGCGGUUUUCUCAAAAGGCUUAAAAGAUAAGCUACAGGCUGAAUGUAAUAGCAAACUAUGUGAGAAUGAGGAGGCGUCUGUAAGUGAGAAUUGCUUAGAUACAAGAGACACUAAGAAUCAAGAAGGCAGCUCCAAGGGUCAGACAGAGAAGGUUUCUGCAAUGCAGAUGUCAGAUGGACUGACUACUUCUACUGAGAAAGAGGAGAGUAAUCUAGAAGGCCAUUCCCCACUUAAUCUUGGUACUUCAGAGGCAUGUACAGUAUCAGAGAUCUCCGAGCCGUCAAAACAGAAUAAUGGCAAUGGUAUUAAUGCUCUAGAAGGUCCGAGUAAUAUACAAGAGACUUCUGUUUCUGCUGAAUUAGUGGAGAGGCCAGUAUCUGAGAAUAUAGAAACUGGAAAUGAUGCUGAUAGGGUCUCCGAAGGAUAUGCAUGUGGUGGAGACCACAUCUCCUUGUCUGUGCCUGCUGGAUCCAUGGACAUAUGUAGGGAAACCUUCUCCCAUGUGGUUGAUGUUGAUUCAACUAGUGUGGAUGUCUCUGGUGGUAAGGAUACGGAGGAAGUGCUGCCUGUAGAAACUGAGUUGGUGGGAUCUUGCGUGCGUGACGAUGAGCUUAGAUCCUCCUCUGUGGCAGGAGAAUCUGAACAAAUCUCUGAUCAAGGUCAUGGAUCACAAUUUGAAUCUUCCACAUUGAAUAAUCAAGCAUCGGAUGUUGGUUUUGACUGUAGGAACUUAAUCUUAGGUGGUGACCCAGUGAGUGGUCGAUCGCUUUCUGGUAGUGGUGCAAUUGCAACUGAAAUAAUUGAUCAUGACGAUAAGCUAAAGCCAGUAUCAGUUAUGGGAGGGUCAGAUCAUUUUUCAGGAAAGGAAGAAAUGGAAGCUGUUCUCAGCAGGGAAGCAGAAGUGUCAACACUGAAGGAGUCUUCUGAGGGGGCACGCCAGCUAGGUCUCCUUUCCGACGAUGGAAAAGAUGCAUCUAGUGACUGCCAUAUGAAAAUAAAACCUAUGGUUGUUGAUCAGGAUGUUCUUAUUCAGGAUAAUUCCAAUUCAGCAAGCCACAUUGAGCAAGCAGCGAGUGCCGAAGCAAAUAUUGAGGGUCCUGGUGCUAGAGCUGAGGCAGCCCCUAUUGUGAAGAAUCAGGAGAUGGAAGUAGAAACAGUGAAAUUCGGA
This 1920-nucleotide unclassified non-coding RNA is filed under the name Hevea brasiliensis (rubber tree). The record is from RNAcentral. Lineage: Eukaryota; Viridiplantae; Streptophyta; Magnoliopsida; Malpighiales; Euphorbiaceae.